ACGAACGCUGGCGGCAUGCCUAACACAUGCAAGUCGAACGAGACCUUCGGGUCUAGUGGCGCACGGGUGCGUAACGCGUGGGAAUCUGCCCUUGGGUCCGGAAUAACUCAGAGAAAUUUGAGCUAAUACCGGAUGAUGACGUAAGUCCAAAGAUUUAUCGCCCAGGGAUGAGCCCGCGUAGGAUUAGCUAGUUGGUGAGGUAAAGGCUCACCAAGGCGACGAUCCUUAGCUGGCUGAGAGGAUGAUCAGCCACACUGGGACUGAGACACGGCCCAGACUCCUACGGGAGGCAGCAGUGGGGAAUAUUGGACAAUGGGCGAAAGCCUGAUCCAGCAAUGCCGCGUGAGUGAUGAAGGCCUUAGGGUUGUAAAGCUCUUUUACCCGGGAUGAUAAUGACAGUACCGGGAGAAUAAG
This 414-nucleotide ribosomal RNA is filed under the name uncultured bacterium. RNAcentral describes it as "bacterial SSU rRNA". It matches the Rfam family "Bacterial small subunit ribosomal RNA", at positions 29 to 490 of the family's 1533-position model. The record is from RNAcentral.